This 990-nucleotide ribosomal RNA is filed under the name uncultured bacterium. RNAcentral's name for it is "bacterial SSU rRNA". It matches the Rfam family "Bacterial small subunit ribosomal RNA", at positions 8 to 990 of the family's 1533-position model. The record is from RNAcentral.
AGAGUUUGAUCCUGGCUCAGGACGAACGCUGGCGGCGCGCUUAACACAUGCAAGUCGAGCGAGAACCGGACCUUCGGGUCCGGGGACAGCGGCGAACGGGUGAGUAACACGUGAGUAAUCCACCCUUGGCACCGGAAUAGCCCGGGGAAACUCGGAUUAAUGCCGGAUGGCCCGACAGCCUCUCGGGGCGGUCGGAAAAGAUAGCUUCGGCCUUCGGCCAAGGACGAGCUCGCGGCGGAUUAGCUUGUUGGCGGGGUAACGGCCCACCAAGGCGACGAUCCGUAGCUGGUCUGAGAGGACGAUCAGCCACACUGGGACUGAGACACGGCCCAGACUCCUACGGGAGGCAGCAGUGGGGAAUCUUGCGCAAUGGGCGAAAGCCUGACGCAGCGACGCCGCGUGAGGGAAGAAGGCCUUCGGGUUGUAAACCUCUUUCAGGAGGGACGAAGCCACUCGGGUGAAUAGCCCAGAGGGUGACGGUACCUCCAGAAGAAGCCCCGGCUAACUACGUGCCAGCAGCCGCGGUAAUACGUAGGGGGCAAGCGUUGUCCGGAUUUAUUGGGCGUAAAGAGCGUGUAGGCGGCUUUACAGGUCCGCUGUGAAAACUCGAGGCUCAACCUCGAGCUGUCGGUGGAAACCGUAAAGCUAGAGUCCGGAGGAGGAGAGUGGAAUUCCCGGUGUAGCGGUGAAAUGCGCAGAUAUCGGGAAGAACACCCGUGGCGAAGGCGGCUCUCUGGGACGGUACUGACGCUGAGACGCGAAAGCGUGGGGAGCGAACAGGAUUAGAUACCCUGGUAGUCCACGCCGUAAACGAUGGGUGCUAGGUGUGGGAGGUGUCGACUCCUUCCGUGCCGAAGCUAACGCAUUAAGCACCCCGCCUGGGGAGUACGGCCGCAAGGCUAAACUCAAAGGAAUUGACGGGGGCCCGCCAAGCAGCGGAGCAUGUGGUUUAUUCGACGCACGCGAAAACCUUACCAGGCUUGACUGCCU